This 486-nucleotide ribosomal RNA is filed under the name Rhodococcus sp. AOU 3. RNAcentral's name for it is "bacterial SSU rRNA". It matches the Rfam family "Bacterial small subunit ribosomal RNA", at positions 380 to 877 of the family's 1533-position model. RNAcentral also lists the same sequence under 1 other name. Lineage: Bacteria; Bacillati; Actinomycetota; Actinomycetes; Mycobacteriales; Nocardiaceae. The record is from RNAcentral.
AGCCUGAUGCAGCGACGCCGCGUGAGGGAUGACGGCCUUCGGGUUGUAAACCUCUUUCAGCAGGGACGAAGCGCAAGUGACGGUACCUGCAGAAGAAGCACCGGCUAACUACGUGCCAGCAGCCGCGGUAAUACGUAGGGUGCAAGCGUUGUCCGGAAUUACUGGGCGUAAAGAGUUCGUAGGCGGUUUGUCGCGUCGUUUGUGAAAACCAGCAGCUCAACUGCUGGCUUGCAGGCGAUACGGGCAGACUUGAGUACUGCAGGGGAGACUGGAAUUCCUGGUGUAGCGGUGAAAUGCGCAGAUAUCAGGAGGAACACCGGUGGCGAAGGCGGGUCUCUGGGCAGUAACUGACGCUGAGGAACGAAAGCGUGGGUAGCGAACAGGAUUAGAUACCCUGGUAGUCCACGCCGUAAACGGUGGGCGCUAGGUGUGGGUUCCUUCCACGGAAUCCGUGCCGUAGCUAACGCAUUAAGCGCCCCGCCUGGG